AGUGAACGCUGGCGGCGUGCUUAACACAUGCAAGUCGAACGAGAACGGAAUAUAGCUUGCUAUAUUUGUCAGCUAAGUGGCGCACGGGUGAGUAAUGUAUAGAUAACCUGCCCUUAAGAAAGGAAUAACAGUUGGAAACGACUGCUAAUGCCCUAUAUGCCUUUAAUACAUAAGUAUGCAAGGGAAACGCUUUAGUGCUUAAGGAUGGGUCUGUAUGGUAUCAGCUUGUUGGUGAGGUAAUGGCUCACCAAGGCUAUGACCCAUAACUGGUUUGAGAGGAUGAUCAUUCACACUGGAACUGAGACACGGUCCAGACUCCUACGGGAGGCAGCAGUGGGGAAUAUUGCACAAUGGACGAAAGUCUGAGGCAGCAACGCCGCGUGGAGGAUGACACAUUUCGGUGCGUAAACUCCUUUUAUAUAGAAAGAUAAUGACGGUACUAUAUGAAUAAGCACCGGCUAACUCCGUGCCAGCCGCCGCCGUAA
Molecule: ribosomal RNA, 485 nt
Filed under: uncultured bacterium
Lineage: Bacteria
Description: partial 16S ribosomal RNA
Rfam family: Bacterial small subunit ribosomal RNA
Source: RNAcentral